Acinonyx jubatus (cheetah) is the source of this 901-nucleotide long non-coding RNA. RefSeq lists it as uncharacterized. The transcript is spliced from 3 exons. Lineage: Eukaryota; Metazoa; Chordata; Mammalia; Carnivora; Felidae. The record is from RefSeq and is a predicted model, not a curated record.
CUGAAUCGGCUGGGGCUCGCGCAGGUGAAGGUGAGCCAAUCUCCGCGCGGCGCUCCAAACACUACACUUUCGGUUUCAGCGGCCCGCGGACCGGAAGAGGAAGUUGGGAGCGCUAGGCGCGCAGGGGAUGCUGGGAGUCGUGGUUCCGGCGGCCGGCGCACGGGUCUCUCUCUCCGUCCCCGCGGCGAACCGCUCGGCAAAUACAAUCCAUUACAUACAUGGUCUCUGGCAAGAGGACUUAACACAGUUUGCUGUAUACAUUCUUUGGCAAAAGACCCUGUGAGCCAAGCAUCCCCUGAAGGGAACUGAUACUACCCCUUCAAGCAGUAAGGGCUGCACUGAACCAGCAAGACCCCACCCAUGACAAUGAAGACCUGACCUUUACUGCCCACCUGCAAGUACCUACUUACCUUUGUCCCACAUUUUCCUGGUAUAAACCUAGAAGUAUUUUUGGCACUUUGGAGAAAGUCUUUGAGAUGUUAGUCUGCCGUCUUUGUCUUCCAGUGUUGGGCUCACUGAGAUAAAUUCCUUUCUUAUUUCAUCUCCACUCAUCUCUUUGCAUUUUUUAAAUAAGUUUAUUUAUUUUGAAAGGGAGCGUGAGAGAGCGUGUGCUCAUGGGAGCAGAAGAGGGGCAGAGAGCAACAGGAAGAGAAAGAAUCCCAAGCAGGGUCCAUGCUGUCAGUGUGGAGCCCAACUUGGGACUCAGUCUCAUGAACCAUGAAAUCAUGGCCUGAGUAGAAAUCAAGAGUCUGAGGCUUAACUAUCUGAGCCGCCCAGGUGCCGCAUCUCUCUGCAUUUGGGUUUUGUCAGUGGUUAGUGGCUGAGCCUGGUCUGUUUGGGACCCCGUGAAACCAGGUGUUCUUGCACCCCUGCAAUCCCUGAUGUGGUCUGAAGUGGGGUU